RNAcentral lists this non-coding RNA (93 nucleotides) under Burkholderia diffusa. Lineage: Bacteria; Pseudomonadati; Pseudomonadota; Betaproteobacteria; Burkholderiales; Burkholderiaceae. The record is from RNAcentral.
GCUUACGGGUGGGCCUUGGCGGGGAGGCCUUCGGGCCUGCCGGUUUGGUUUUGCGCCGGUCAGCCAACCUCGUCAUUGUGCCCGCCCACCCCA